CGGUGAAAUGCGUAGAGAUUAGGAGGAACACCGGUGGCGAAGGCGGCUUACUGGACAGAUACUGACGCUGAGGUGCGAAAGCGUGGGGAGCGAACAGGAUUAGAUACCCUGGUAGUCCACGCCGUAAACGAUGAGUGCUAGGUGUUGGGGGUCAAACCUCGGUGCCGCAGCUAACGCAUUAAGCACUCCGCCUGGGGAGUACGUACGCAAGUAUGAAACUCAAAGGAAUUGACGGGGGCCCGCACAAGCAGCGGAGCAUGUGGUUUAAUUCG
This 272-nucleotide ribosomal RNA is filed under the name Tissierella praeacuta. Its description in RNAcentral is "partial 16S ribosomal RNA". It matches the Rfam family "Bacterial small subunit ribosomal RNA", at positions 679 to 953 of the family's 1533-position model. Lineage: Bacteria; Bacillati; Bacillota; Tissierellia; Tissierellales; Tissierellaceae. The record is from RNAcentral. RNAcentral also lists the same sequence under 1 other name.